UACAGAGGUGGCAAGCGUUGUUCGGAAUUACUGGGCGUAAAGCGUGCGCAGGCGGCUUUGCAAGACAGAUGUGAAAUCCCCGGGCUCAACCUGGGAACUGCAUUUGUGACUGCAAGGCUAGAGUACGGUAGAGGGGGAUGGAAUUCCGCGUGUAGCAGUGAAAUGCGUAGAUAUGCGGAGGAACACCGAUGGCGAAGGCAAUCCCCUGGGCCUGCACUGACGCUCAUGCACGAAAGCGUGGGGAGCAAACAGG
RNAcentral lists this ribosomal RNA (253 nucleotides) under uncultured bacterium. RNAcentral describes it as "partial 16S ribosomal RNA". It matches the Rfam family "Bacterial small subunit ribosomal RNA", at positions 524 to 776 of the family's 1533-position model. The record is from RNAcentral.